GAUGAACGCUGGCGGCGUGCCUAAUACAUGCAAGUCGAGCGAACGGACGAGAAGCUUGCUUUUCCGAUGUUAGCGGCGGUGGGGAGAGUAACACGUGGAUAACCUACCUAUAAGACUGGGAUAAUUUCGGGAAACCGGCGCUAAUACCGGAUAAUAUUUUGAACCGCAUGGUUCAAAAGUUAAAGACGGUCUUGCUGUCACUUAUAGCUGGAUCCGCGCUGCAUUAGCUAGUUGGUAAGGUAACGGGUUACCAAGGCAACGAUGGAUAGCCGACCUGAGGGAGUGAUCGGCCACACUGGCAGUGAGCCAGGGUCCAGACUCCUGCGGGAGGCAGCAGUAGAGAAUCUUACGCAAAGGACGAAAGCCUAACAGAGCAACGCCGCGUGAGGGAUGAAGGAGUUCGGAUCGUAAAGCUCUGUUAUUAGGGAGAAACAUAUGUGUAAGUAACUGUGCAGAUCUUGACGGUACCUAAUCAGAAAGCCACGGCUAACUACGUG
This 497-nucleotide ribosomal RNA is filed under the name uncultured bacterium. Its description in RNAcentral is "partial 16S ribosomal RNA". It matches the Rfam family "Bacterial small subunit ribosomal RNA", at positions 28 to 507 of the family's 1533-position model. The record is from RNAcentral.